RNAcentral lists this long non-coding RNA (322 nucleotides) under Sus scrofa (pig). RNAcentral describes it as "lncRNA (ENSSSCG00060001840.1)". The record is from RNAcentral. Lineage: Eukaryota; Metazoa; Chordata; Mammalia; Artiodactyla; Suidae.
GUCGGGGUGGAGGCACAAGGCCAGCUGAGCUACGAGGGAAACAAGGAAAGAGAGAACGACCCACGACACCAGGCGCUGCAGGUCUUCGCACUCUCAGCAGUUCUGACUCUCGCUGCCUGAAACCGGUACAGAAAGAGGAUGUAACAACGUUGAACUUUUUAUGUGAUUUUUUUUGCCUUUGACACAGUUGUUAGAGGUUUUUUUUUUUUUUUUUUUUUUUUUUUUUUUUUUUUUUUUUUUAAAGCAACAGCGCCCUACGAGGACACCAGGUUUCUAAAUGAUUCAUCUUCUCACAGACCUUGAUAUUCAAUCCAGGUGUAGG